GUAUGAUUUGUGACAUUCAUUUUAGUGAAGAUCAGCAGAUCAGCAAUGCUCUUAAUCUGAGGUACAAAUGCACACCUACUUAUUGCAGUAUUCUCUGUUGCAAAUAAUGGGGGUGCUUGUGGUUAAAUUCUUUUGUUUAAUCAGUAGAGGUUAGCAUGCACUGUUAUAGACCCUUUGUAGAAUGGUAGUUAUGUUUAGUUGUUGCACUUACGUGUCAUAUUCACCUUUUUAACGGAAUUAUUAUGUUUAGUUGUUGCAGUUGCCAGUUAUGAUGCCACUGCUCGGUAAUUAAAUUUAUACAUAGUUCAUAUUUUGUUGAAUUAAAUUCUAGACUAUGAAAUAUUCCAUGUUUUGGACGGUAAACCUUUAUUAUAAAUUGAUGGAUCCUCUAAAAGGUUGAUGGCUUAGGUUGGCAUGAUAUUUAGAAAAUAGGUUUUCCCUUGAAUGCACAUUCUAUUAGUUAAUUUAAAUGAACAAAAUCUUUAUGCAUUUUUUUCAUUACUUUCGAUAUACUUGAUUUUUUUUUUGGAGGAGAGAAGAGGACACUGUAACAAAGGCCAAUAUCGAGGUAACUUUUCGAUUGUUAUAUACAUGGUGAUCCUGGUAGCGACUAUCCUACCCAUGACAAGGCUACCCAGGCAGCGCUGAUCCUCCUCACGCAAGACAUCCCCUACUGCGGUGAUCCUCCAUGUAAUGAGGCGACCGGGCCAGUGAGGUUCUUGUUGCCAAACCAUUCUCCUUCGGGGUAUAAGGGCUACUCCAGCGAGGAGCAGCAGCUACCUUACAAUUACCUUGCCGUCGCGCAAUCGCCACCACCACGAGGAUGAUGACUGCUGCCUUCGCGUCCUCGGAAGAUGAACGAAAAUCUAACUAGCUAGGACCCUCGGGAUGGUGGCUCCUCUAGCCAUAGGUUUGGAGGGCAACAAGCAGAUGCACCAAAGGGAGCUCAAAUAUGAGGAAUUAUGUGGCAAAAAUGAGCUUGCUGGAUCGGAAUCCUGGUAAGAUGACAUAAGUUUAGAAUAAUCACUGCUGCAACCAUCUCUGGUGAGUCUUUAUGAGAAAGACCACAUAGGAAAGGGACGAGAUUAGCACUUCUAGCUACAAAGGAAAUGUAUUUAACUUCUCAAGAAUAUAUUGGCAAAUAUAAUGCUGUUUAACUUCUGUUGUAUGAAUUGUACAUGCACUAAAAAGCAUAUAAAUAUGCUCUCUUAUUCGUGCUUCCCAA
This is a non-coding RNA of Oryza sativa Japonica Group (Japanese rice), 1225 nucleotides long. Lineage: Eukaryota; Viridiplantae; Streptophyta; Magnoliopsida; Poales; Poaceae. The record is from RefSeq and is a predicted model, not a curated record.